RNAcentral lists this long non-coding RNA (1384 nucleotides) under Brachypodium distachyon (stiff brome). RNAcentral's name for it is "long non-coding RNA (BDIS_LNC002383)". Lineage: Eukaryota; Viridiplantae; Streptophyta; Magnoliopsida; Poales; Poaceae. The record is from RNAcentral.
CCUCAUACCUAUGGAAAACAGAGGUUGGACCGAAUGCAUAAUGUGAAAUAUCCUAUGGAAAAUAGAGGUUGGACCGAAUGCAUCUACUGUCAAUCUUUCGGAUUUCUUAUGAAAAACUCGAAACCGAGUGAGCCCCUAGUCCUCUUCGUAUCAUCAAAAUUUCAAUUCUUGUUAAAAGUAUUGAAAUUAAAUUAAUGAAAAAAACACGAAAAUGCUGAAAUAGAUCUUAAAAAGAAAGUUGUGCCACCAUGUUUCACGAUGACUAGGCACUUAUAAUAUAAGAGGAGGCAAUCAUGCACUUUUAUGGGUGUGGUGGGAAAUCGAUUUUGUUGGAUGCAUUCGUGGGGUUUGGUACGGUUUGGUGUUGGUUGGGCGCGAGAAAUGCAAAUCAUUGCUUGUAGCUUUCGGUAUAUACUUCACCAAAAUGGUGGGGGUGCAUCUUCUACACUCAUCUCAGUGGACGGUCAUGGUAAAUUUUAAUUUCGAUUAUAUCAUAGCUAUUUUUUUUACUGAUCUUUUAAAUAAAAGUUGUAUGUUUUCAAGUUGAGUAAAAUCCAUCCGCUAUCCUACUGGAGUAUUAUUGUUAUUGUUGAUAUGUCAAGUUAGUCUCGAAAUUACAAAACUACGUAUCUAUGCAACUUUUGUUAAGUUAUUUAGUGCAAGUCUUAGAUUCACUCGGGAGAUGCCAACUGUCUCACGUGGCACUUUGACCACGAACACGUCAUCGGGGGAGUUGGCGGGUGAUUUUCCCUUUGGUAAAAGUUGGUAAAAAAGAAAAAAGAAAAAGAAAACCAUACAGAAGGCACGCCUCCCUCUCGAUGCUCUCCACUGUAUUCUCUAGCUCUUCUUUCCUAUGGAUCUUGUCAAGCAUCACUAUUGUCAUGUUUUGGAGCUCCCAAGCUAGCUCGUCGUUGGGAAAAGAGGUAAGAAGAAGGGAACAGAGCAGCCGUCACCGUUGCCACAUGCCCGGUCUUCUAUGAGCCAACUUCUAAUGGGAUAUCUCCCGUCAAGACCUUUCUGUAGAUGUGUACAGUCAAAGUUGUACUAAAUCAGGAAUACUUGUUAGGAGGGAGUACAUGAUAUGGUCAACGUCUCUCCGGUAAGUUGGACCAGCCGUAAACAAUCUAAACAAAGUAGGACUCCGCUCGGCAAUAAUAGUAGAAGUGAUUGUGCAUUGUUACUCCCUCUAAGACAAUAUUUUCAUCAAAUGAGUCAGAUAAAGUUUCAUGUGCAAUGAUCAGUGGCAAUGAUCGCUCUGUUCCACAAACAAUCUAUCCGGUUGAAACUUUUAUGCAUGCAACCGAUCGGUACAAGCCCAGUAGAUAUACUUUUUUCCCAUGGUAUCUACUUAUUACUAUCGCUAACCUAGUAUAAUUGGCCGGGA